This 253-nucleotide ribosomal RNA is filed under the name uncultured bacterium. Its description in RNAcentral is "partial 16S ribosomal RNA". It matches the Rfam family "Bacterial small subunit ribosomal RNA", at positions 524 to 776 of the family's 1533-position model. The record is from RNAcentral.
UACAGAGGGUGCAAGCGUUAAUCGGAAUUAUUGGGCGUAAAGCGUGCGUAGACGGUCAUGUAAGUCGGGUGUGAAAGCCCCGGGCUCAACCUGGGAAUUGCAUUCGAGACUGCAUGGCUAGGGUGCGGAAGAGGGAAGCGGAAUUUCCGGUGUAGCGGUGAAAUGCGUAGAUAUCGGAAGGAACACCAGUGGCGAAAGCGGCUUCCUGGUCCAGCACCGACGUUCAGGCACGAAAGCGUGGGGAGCAAACAGG